This is a small nucleolar RNA of Cucurbita moschata (crookneck pumpkin), 80 nucleotides long. RefSeq annotates it as small nucleolar RNA R160. The transcript has a single exon. Lineage: Eukaryota; Viridiplantae; Streptophyta; Magnoliopsida; Cucurbitales; Cucurbitaceae. The record is from RefSeq and is a predicted model, not a curated record.
GGCAAAAUGAUGAAAACUUUGUCAUCUGAAACUGAUGUGGAGCUUUAUAUCAUUCUGGUCUUCAAAGUUCUCUGAUUGCU